AGUCUUGACCUCGGAUCAGGUAGGGAUACCCGCUGAACUUAAGCAUAUCAAUA
RNAcentral lists this ribosomal RNA (53 nucleotides) under Pleosporales sp. MUT 4417. RNAcentral's name for it is "partial 28S ribosomal RNA". Lineage: Eukaryota; Fungi; Ascomycota; Dothideomycetes; Pleosporales. The record is from RNAcentral.